Molecule: RNA transcript, 3443 nt
Organism: Musa acuminata AAA Group (dessert banana)
Lineage: Eukaryota; Viridiplantae; Streptophyta; Magnoliopsida; Zingiberales; Musaceae
Exons: 8
Source: RefSeq, a predicted model, not a curated record
ACUUUUUUCUUUAUUUUCCUUCUCCGUUUCAGAAAGAAGAGGAGAGAGGGGGAACGCGGGAUGAGGGAAGAGGUCAUAAGCUCGGGGACGGCGGACGCCGUCGCGCUUGCUAGGUCGUCUUCUCCUCCUCCCACUCCUGCUGCGAGUUCUGCUGGGGCAUCCUCACCAGCUGCUCCAACAAAUGCAACCAGUAUAGAUUGGCUUGGUAGUGGUCAGGGUUCCAAAGUGGGGUCUCUAUCUUGUAUUGAUCCACAGCCACCUCGGACUUCAUUGAGCACAAAUGCUGGUGGCUCUGUUUUGGGAUCCUCAGAACCUCAAUGUCGACCCUGGGAACGUGGGGAUCUGCUUCAGCGACUCAGCACAUUCAAGCCUUCAAAUUGGUUUGCAAAACCAAAAGGAGCAGGUUCACUAUCCUGUGCUCGCAGGGGGUGGAUUAAUAUCGAUACAGAUAUUAUUGAAUGCGAGUCAUGUGGUGCUCAACUCACUUUUACUAUAUCAGCAUCUUGGAGUCCCACUGAAGUUGAUCGUGCUGUGGAAGCAUUUACGGAUCAGCUUGAUGCUGGCCACAAAGUUAAUUGUUCUUGGAGAGGAAACUGCUGUGCUGACAGCUUGGUUCAGUUCCCUCCUACCCCUCCAUUAGCACUUAUUGGUGGCUACAAGGACCGCUGUGAUGGCCUUUUGCAAUUCCCUUCACUUCCAAUGAUAGCUUCAUCUGCAAUUGAGACUAUGAGACUCACAAGGAGUGUUCAGAUUGACCGCUUUCUAUCACAGCCAAGUGCUUUUUUUUCUGGGGAGCUAGGCUGUAAAGCAGACAGCACGCCUGGAAAAAGAAUAUCUCGAGAUCCUCCCUUUUGUGACUAUUCUCAUGCACAGAAAUUUAUAAGCCUUUGUGGAUGGGAGCCAAGAUGGCUACCAAAUAUUCAAGAUUGUGAAGAAAAUUCUGCUGAGUCUGCUAAAAAUGCGUGCUCAGUUGAUCAUACUAAAGAUGAAUAUGAUCAUUCAGACUUUCAUGUCCUUAGUAAGAAUCAAUUGUCCACCUCUAGAAAACAAGACAAAGGAAAGGGGAAAGCACCCAUUAAAGAACUGAAGUACAAUACAAGGUCACCUUUACUUGAUUGCAGCUUAUGUGGAGCCACUGUCAGAAUCUGGGAUUUCCGCACAGUGCCUCGUCCUGCUCGUUUUGGUCCCAACACAACUGAUACUCCUGAUGCUGGAAAAAAGUUGGCACUGACGCGUGGAGUAAGUGCGGCCAGUGGUAUCAAUGGUUGGGUUGCUGCCGAGACAAUGGCAAAGGAACAGAUUGACGAAGCAGCUGCAACAGCGGAUGAUGGUAAAUCACCAUCAAAUGCUGGUGUAGAUUUGAAUCUUACAAUGGCAGGAGGACUAACAUCCAAUCAUUCUGGCAUGCCAGCACUGUCUGAGCAUUUUGAAGAUGGUGGAAUGGGAAGGGAUCUGAUAAUUGGCCAGCCUGCUGGAAGUGAGGUUGGUGACCGGGCAGCUUCCUAUGAGUCACGGGGUCCAAGCACAAGGAAGCGUAGCGUGGAAGAUGGUGGGAGCACAGUUGACAGACCACAGCAUAGGAUUCUGCGUGCUGACAGCAUAGAAGGAACUGUCAUUGACCGUGAUGGUGAUGAAGUUGAUGACGGCACGCAGGAUUCAGAUGGCCCUAACAAACGUGCUCGUGGCUUUGAUAUCUUUGAUUCAUAUCAUCCACCAUCCAGGAUAGGUUCAUCUGGUGCUGGGCCGAGUCGUAAUCUAUGCUUUGAUAUCGACAUAGAUGCGAACAGAGUCGAGUCCUAUAAAGAAGAGAGUGAUAUGGCUAUUGGCUUCCCAUCACAUAGAGAUUCUGCUCGGGCAUCCUCUGUUAUUGCUAUGGACACAAUCUGUAGUGGUGAGGAAGAUUCAAUGGAAAGUGUUGAAAAUUACCCAGGAGAUGUCGCUGAUGUUCGAUAUCCUUCUCCUAUCAUGCAUAGGAAUCUUGACAUGAAUGAUACUUGGGGUUCAAACUAUAGCAAUCAAGUACAGCAAAACACAUAUAAUCAACCUGCUGCUGCAAGUGUUGCCAGGGAAGUUGGAGGCAGCAGUACAAUUGAGGGGGAAGAAAUUGUAAAUGCAGAAACUGUCACAGCUCAUGCAAGGGAUAGGUUCAGUUUAGGAAUUAGUGGAGGUAGCGUUGGUAUGGGUGCAAGUCAUGAGGCUGAAAUUCAUGGGGUUGAUGUAUCUGUGCAUAGAACGAAUAGCAUUGUAGGUGAUGCAGAACCAGUUGCUGAAGUCACUGAAAAUCUAGGGCAAACUGGUGAAUCAGCCCCAGGACCAGCACUAGUGGAUGAAUUUGUUCCAGAAGCCGUUAUGAGAGAGGAUCCUCAUGGUGAUAGUCAAGAGAUGAUGUCUCGAUCAGUUGGAAGAGCUGAUAGUGGUUCCAAGGUCUAUGGUUCAACCAAAGCUGACUCUGUGGAAAGUGGGGAGAAGGUUAGUCACACCCUGGGUCCUGAUAGCAGUGCACAUCCUUCACUUUCUUGCAAUGCUAUGAUUUACUCAGGUUAUGAGGUAUCCAAGGAAGAGGUAACACAGACUGGCAAUGCAUCAAUCACUGAUGAUUAUGCACUCAUGGUGUCAAGCCAUCUUCCUAGAAAUGGGAUAGUGAAUGGGGAAAAUGAAUAUGAGGUGGAAACUGGAGAGUUUGAUCCGAUUAAACACCAUAACCGUUAUUGCCCAUGGGUUAAUGGAAAUGUAGCUGCUGCUGGUUGUAACAGCGAUAGUGGUUCCAGCUCAAGCAAUUCAGAAGUUCAUUGUGGUUGGGAACUUACCCUGGAUGCCCUGGAUAGCUUUCAAUCCCUUGGUCAUGUUCCGAAUCAAAUGAUGCAGUCUGAAUCUGCAGCUUCUCUAUACAAGGAUGACCAUGUGACUCCUACACAGAAACUCUUGACGCAUCAUUCUGCAAGUAAGAGGCAGGGAAAACAUUGAUCCGUUUGUCGCAAUUUCCUUGGUACGCAUAUGUUAAUUUAAUUCAACUACUUGCGCUAUUGAUGUCAAUACUUAAAGGAAAAGGUUGCUGGUUCUUAGGAUCUGCGACAGGGAGUCAUCUUGUUCCUGGUCAUCCUCAGCAGGCAGGGUAUCAAUCAGUCGCUGCGAUCAGACAUGAUAAGGACUUUGUUCAUGAACGUUCUUAGAACCGAACCGAACCGAACCGAACUGAACUCUUUAAGGUGCUCUUUGGCAGAACCUAAGUUGCUUUUCGAAAACAUUUAGACUUGUGCUUCUAUCAUGUUUACAGACAUAUGCCUCCGAUUGUUUUAAGCGCCAGCGUUGAAUGACUUGCACUGUAUUCCUAAGUUAGAUAUAUUUUCAAGAACCUAAUGGAGCUACCUAGAUUAGAGACCUGCACUGAAGGCUUGCUCUGUAUUCUUAGAUUAUUAUCUUCAAUAACUUAUUGAGUUGUUCAA